GACGAACGCUGGCGGCGUGCUUAACACAUGCAAGUCGAGCGGGGAUACGGGACUUCGGUCCUGUGUUCUAGCGGCGGACGGGUGAGUAACGCGUGAGCAAUCUGUCCCAGACAGGGGGAUAACACUUGGAAACAGGUGCUAAUACCGCAUAAGACCACGGAGUCACAUGGCUCAGGGGUAAAAGAUUUAUCGGUCUGGGGUGAGCUCGCGUCCGAUUAGGUAGUUGGUGAGGUAACGGCCCACCAAGCCUGCGAUCGGUAGCCGACCUGAGAGGGUGAUCGGCCACAUUGGGACUGAGACACGGCCCAA
RNAcentral lists this ribosomal RNA (309 nucleotides) under uncultured bacterium. Its description in RNAcentral is "bacterial SSU rRNA". It matches the Rfam family "Bacterial small subunit ribosomal RNA", at positions 28 to 334 of the family's 1533-position model. The record is from RNAcentral.